Aegilops tauschii subsp. strangulata is the source of this 4226-nucleotide non-coding RNA. The record is from RefSeq and is a predicted model, not a curated record. NCBI's taxonomy places the organism in Eukaryota, Viridiplantae, Streptophyta, Magnoliopsida, Poales, Poaceae.
AGUCUUCUUGCCUUCUUUGUUUCUCCCUUUCCGAAAAAAGUCCUCUUCAACUUAGAACAGAAUGGAAAAAAUCUUCUUGUCUUCUCGAGAGCUCGCAACCAUGGAAAAGGAUGAGCCAGCCUGGGUCCAACACAUAUGUAAGGAUCACCUCCAAGCUCUCCUCAGUCUCCUCUCGUACGUCGUGAUCCUCACUCACACCCCUCGUGGCUGGGACUGCGCCUAGUUUGGCUGCCCGCGUGCCUCAUCGAUCUCCCGGGCGGUCAACGGGUAGCAGGGCCCUGAUAUCAGCUGCAUGAGGGACGAUGCGACCUCGUAGAACUCGCAUCGCAGUUGCCGUCAGCUUCCAUUUAUGCGUUGAAGGAGUGGAUCUCGUUCCCCUUAGCUCCUGCAGAUUGUGGUUGUGGGGAUCUUGGGGGUGUUAUCCGUCCCCGAGCGUCGGGCCGGAGGCGUCGUUGCUAUCCCCAAGCGAGGUUGCCGAUGCAUCGUCUUCAUCCUCGAUAGCCGCAACCCGGCUUCAGCAUCGCAUUCUAGAACCUGCAGGUCCCCCCUCUCCCUUUUCCUUUUUCUGUCUUUGUACACUGAACCAAUAUACUUUAAGGUACUUCUUAACAGUGACAAAUGGUAUACUGGCUGCAAUUGAAAUGAGAUAGUUGUAGGUCUGGAUGCCCAACACAGCUUAAGGCAAAUUGGUUAAUUAGUUUAUGCCCCCUCCACUUUUUUCGCAGCUUGAGAAAGGAAUCACAGUUUCAGCCCCCUCUCUACGCCCAUAUAUUCAAAAAUUAAGGAAGUGAUUAGUGUAUUUGUGAUUAGCUAUAGUUUUAAAAUUUCCCAUAGACAAAUUAAUUUUAAUAAUUGAGUAGUAAAAUUACUUUUGAUUGCAUUGUACAUAUGAAAUAUAACGAUGUUCUGAUGCUCUCAACAUUGGGUUGACUAUAUAAUAAGCUUCAAAUAUUGGAUGACAUAGAAUGUCGUUCGAUGUUUGGUAUUACUGAACAAUUUCCAUCAAAUGUUCAUGCAUCUUUCCAGUACUUAUGCGGAGUAGUUGACCCCAUCCUAUCAUAUCUUGUUAUCAUAGGUAAGUCGGUUAUUAUUUUGAAGGUAGUCUGCAGUGUACUUUUUUUCAUGUACUUAUGAUUACAUAUAAUAAUGUAUGAAAGGCAGCAUGAUCCAUCUAGUUCACUGCGAUUGAGAUGGACUCUACCCCGACGACGUUCAAGCCAACACCCAUCUACUUCAUAUGUAUGCAAGUAGCGGUGCAUGCUCUUUUUAAUAAAUCUUUGUUUCUGUCUAACCAAUUCCUUUGGUUUGUACUAAUAAGUGUACUGUAUACAUGCACUUGGCAUGAGUGCAUGGACCACUCUUAUGUAGUAAAUUCCCAAGUAGAAAAUGGUUUAUGGUACAUUAGAGUAUAAAAUUGAUAAUGUAUAAUUAGUUGAGUGAAAUCAGUUCUCGCUCUCCAUGUUUGAUGCUGUGAAGCAGAAUAUGUGUAAAGCACUAUCGAGUUUUGCUAUCCUGGCCAUUUGGUCCUGCUGUACAGUGGAGAUUCCAAUAGUCAUACAGUCCAUGGAUGUUGCUAGUCAGUAGGUUAAUAGUGUAACCCCCCUUAAGAGUUAGUUCUUUUGUUUAUAGCAACUUCAUUCCUUUCUGUAUUAUAGUUUGAGCACCUCUUUAGAGAUUAAAUUCUUUGAUCUCAUUUAUUUGCUAUUUCUACCAAGUGUUUGUCCUCAUGUUUGUAAUCAUCCAUUGAAUACGAAGAGCAAAAAAGUGAAAAUCUGAGUUGGAGAGGUGCAAGUUUAUCAUAAGGAUGUGUUUAUUAUCGGGAAUGAUUAUGCGGAUCGGACAUGUUACGGAUGUACACCUUCAAUUGAGUACGCCUCCUUUUCACAUCUAUUGUUGUCAUAAACAAAAGCCUCUUUUUUUAAUUCUUUGAGACUAAAAUAAAUCUAAGUACAUAUGAGAAAGGAAGAAGCAAUAUCAAUAGAAUUUGCAUAAUUUAAUAUUAAGAUGAGCAGCAUAUGCAAAAUAAAUCAAUGGUGAGAACUCUGAUCUUUUAUUUUUUUUGAUGAAUUUUGUAGUGACAAUGAUGAUAGCAAAAAGUUUUACCCAUAGAGUGGUCCCUAUCUUCUCACCACUGAAAGAAUUUAACCAUGUAAAAGUAAUGUAAAAAGUUAUAUACAGAACUUUAAAAUUUCUUACAUAAUUUAAAUAACUUACUCUAGAAAAAGAACAUAAAUCUCGCUGAUGCUUGAAGUUUGCUGUCAUGGUGAAGACUAUUAAGCCGGGGUGGUGGUCAGCUGAGUGGACACAUGUCUUAGAAUAACAGAGGGUAAUAGUUCGAUCCUCUCCAAAUUUUCAGAACCGACCUGGUCCAAAACUUCAGUCGUAGUGAAAUUCUCUCGAAUUUAGAGAGGAAAAAACUAAAGGACUUGUUUGUCAAGUCUUUCAGGGAGGUGUCGUUAGUAGGGGAGGAGUUUCAGAGUUUAGCCAAGCUUGACGGUGUUCUGUAGACUAUGGUUUAUCAGUUGCAGGACCUAAUUUAUUCUUCCAUUCAAUUUUAUAUGUGCAUGGUGAGAACUUUGACAAUGAGACAGGCAGAAUCGCAUGCAGAAUGCUUUACCCUCAGUCCAAAAGGUUUAACGCUGUUAGUUCCUAGCAGUUUGCGUGAAACCACGAAGUGAGAUGCAUUUUAAUUAUGCAGUUUCUAUAGAAGUUUAUCUGCCUAUAUUAUGUCGUUCAUAAGCAGACAAUCAAGAUAUUUGAAAUGCAUUAGCCAUUUACUACUCCCUCCGUCCCAAAAUAUAAGAACGUUUUUCAAGCUAUGUUAGCUUGAAAAUGUUCUUAUAUUAUGGGACGGAGAGAGUAAUGAAUAGAGUAGGGAAACUCAAAGCUAAGGAUUAGGUCAUAGAUAAUAGAAAGGAGGAGACAACCACCAAUGUUUAAGAUCAAGAAAAUAGUGCUUAUUGUGUCACAAGCGAACACUGCUUGUUUUCUCCAUGUCAUCAUGCAGACCUUGAGCCAAAGAGGUCAAUUACAAGUUUGAUAUUUGUCAGGUGCAAAGGGAUUAGAAGAUGCUUAUGGGACAAUCGUGAAUGUUGACUGGAAAAUAGCAAUUUGAAAGUUUGAUUAAGAAAGGCACAGUAAUCAACAUCUUAGGUACAAAAUUCUAUUAUUGGCUGAGAUGUUCAUGGACACUAAUGGCCAGGAACCAAUAUUGCAUAUUCUCCUUUCAUGUACCAUCCAUGUGACAAGAAUCAACUUGAUGAUGCUUAUGUAUAUUUUGGCAUUGAAUAUCAACUUCUAUAUGUGUUGUUAAUAAUUGAUGAAUAGAACAAUUAUGGUAACAAAAAAGAGUUGAAGAGCAAAAACAAAAGGCCAUGCAUGCAAUGUCCAGGGUAGGCCUAGAUGGUCUGAGAGAAUUGAUCAAGUACCUACCUUGGCUUUGGCUUUGGCUUUGGCUUUGGACGUCGCUCAUGCUGCCUGUCAUUGUGUGAGCCACCUCGAAGGGGUCGGCCCGUGCCUUCCAGCCGGACUGGGAUCAGGUGACUUGCCUCUUGGCAGUCACGCUGUAACAUGCGGCUGUGAAUCCAACGUUCAUUAUAUUGAUCCAACGUACAGCAACGGUUGAAGGCAAAAGACGGCCCAGACAUCAACGAUUUAAGCCACGUGAUUGGAAUCCUGUCUGUUUUGUACUGGUUUGCAACACCUCUGCAUCCGUCUAAACCUACGAAUCUGCUAUUAAGUCAACCAUAAAUCAAUCUCUACAAAAAGAAAGAACAAAAACUCAGCCAGAUCAAGCACACAUCAAUCUUUAUAAAAUUCAAAACAACAAAAACUCAGCCUCUUGAUCUAUUGAUUUUUGUAGAGAUUAAGAGCAUCUACAGCCGGGCUCUCAUACCUGUCUCAAACGCCCGGGCAACCCGUCCGGUCACUGAGUGAUAAAAAAAGUCGACCCAACCGGGCCUCUCAAACCGUGGAAAAACACCCGGGCAGGCCGUCCGGUCACUGACCGGUCAAAGAAAAAUCGACUUCGGCUCCGAGCUCGCCUACGAGGAGGAGAUGGCCCUCCACAUUGCGCUGGAGCGGUCGAAGGUGGAGACCGGCGGCAGCUGAUACGUUUCCAACGUAUUUAUAAUUUUUUAUUGUUCCAUGCUAUUAUAUUAUCUGUUUUGGAUGUUUAAUGUGCUUUACUAAGCACUUUUAUAUUAUUUUUGGGACUAAUCUAUUAA